UGGCGCAGCUAACGCAUUAAGUUAUCCGCCUGGGGAGUACGGUCGCAAGAUUAAAACUCAAAGGAAUUGACGGGGGCCUGCACAAGCGGUGGAGCAUGUGGUUUAAUUCGAAGCAACGCGCAGAACCUUACCAACGUUUGACAUCCCUAUCGCGGAUCGUGGAGACACUUUCCUUCAGUUCGGCUGGAUAGGUGACAGGUGCUGCAUGGCCGUCGUCAGCUCGUGUCGUGAGAUGUUGGGUUAAGUCCCGCAACGAGCGCAACCCUCGCCUUUAGUUGCCAGCAUUUAGUUGGGUACUCUAAAGGAACCGCCGGUGAUAAGCCGGAGGAAGGUGGGGAUGACGUCAAGUCCUCAUGGCCCUUACGCGUUGGGCUACACACGUGCUACAAUGGCGACUACAGUGGGCAGCCACCUCGCGAGAGGGAGCUAAUCUCCAAAAGUCGUCUCAGUUCGGAUCGUUCUCUGCAACUCGAGAGCGUGAAGGCGGAAUCGCUAGUAAUCGCGGAUCAGCAUGCCGCGGUGAAUACGUUCCCAGGCCUUGUACACACCGCCCGUCACACCAUGGGAGUUGGAUUCACUCGAAGGCGUUGAGCUAACCGUAAGGAGGCAGGCGACCACAGUAGGUUUAGCGACUGGGGUGAAGUCG
This 646-nucleotide ribosomal RNA is filed under the name uncultured Sphingomonas sp. RNAcentral describes it as "bacterial SSU rRNA". It matches the Rfam family "Bacterial small subunit ribosomal RNA", at positions 844 to 1488 of the family's 1533-position model. Lineage: Bacteria; Pseudomonadati; Pseudomonadota; Alphaproteobacteria; Sphingomonadales; Sphingomonadaceae. The record is from RNAcentral.